GGCUGCCACUGGGGAAGGUUUUCUGGUUGGAGAUCCGUCCUUUGUGGAGUUUUCCUGCGAGUGUAAAUCUUCAGAGACAGGAUCCCCUCAAGAGAAAAAAGGCAUAUAAAAAGGAAGCUGAAAUUCCUCAAGGAUAACGUUCUACAUGCUAGCAGGGAGGCAUCCUUACCAUGGGAAUGUUCCAAAAAGAAAUCACAGAAAUGCAUUUCCACCAGGGAAAGAAAAAGGCAGCCACUCUACAAUAAUGCUGGAGCUCUGCUUGUUUUAAGCAUCAACUGUGAUGACAUGAUUAAAAAAUCAGCAUCGUUACAACCACAAGGACCUUUUCCGUGUGAGAGCACAUAAAACAUUAUUAGUGAACUUCUGUCUCCUGGCAUAUGUGUUGCACCCUCCAAAUGAGCUGGAAAGAAGGCUGAUGUAAAUCGGCAUUCAUUUUGGGAUCUUUGCUAUUGAUGGACAGUACUUAAGUUAGGCAUCACUAUAAAUCAAGAUGUCUUGUCCCAGUGUCCUCUUGUACUCUUUGUGUGUUACAACUUACCUGAAUGAUUGGAUGCUAUAUUAAACUGUGAUAUUACCCUACAGUCUACGUCUGACUUUCAGAGGAUCUUGGGUGGUACAACUACAUCACUUUAAUCCACAGGUAUUUGUGUAGCAUUUGCCUAGAUAUGGAUAGCAGUUUGAGGUUGGAAGAGCAAAAACUGUUGGAUAUUAGACAUUUCUAAUUCAUUCUUAGCUCUAUAAUGUGGGAACCUCGUUUUCUGGAAAAAAAAAGUGGGGGUUAUGAGUUGUAAAGUCUAAUUGAAAAGACAAAAUGCAGUCAAACAUGAUGUCUGUUAUUACUGUG
Long non-coding RNA from Phasianus colchicus (ring-necked pheasant), 844 nucleotides. RefSeq lists it as uncharacterized. The record is from RefSeq and is a predicted model, not a curated record. NCBI's taxonomy places the organism in Eukaryota, Metazoa, Chordata, Aves, Galliformes, Phasianidae.